UACGUAGGGUCCAAACGUUGUUCGGUGUCACUGGGCUUAAAGGGCGCGUAGGCGGCUUGUUAAGUGAGAUGUGAAAUCCCGCGGCUCACCCGCGGAAGUGCAUUUCAUACUGGCAGGCUCGAGGAAUGCAGAGGUAAUGGGAAUUCUUGGUGUAGCGGUGACAUGCUCAGAGAUCAAGGAGAAGACCGGUGGCGAAGGCGCAUUACUGGGCAUUUCCUGACGCUGAGGCGCGAGAGCGUGGGGAG
This 245-nucleotide ribosomal RNA is filed under the name uncultured bacterium. RNAcentral describes it as "partial 16S ribosomal RNA". It matches the Rfam family "Bacterial small subunit ribosomal RNA", at positions 524 to 768 of the family's 1533-position model. The record is from RNAcentral.